This is a long non-coding RNA of Micropterus dolomieu (smallmouth bass), 1918 nucleotides long. RefSeq lists it as uncharacterized. The record is from RefSeq and is a predicted model, not a curated record. The transcript has 4 exons. NCBI's taxonomy places the organism in Eukaryota, Metazoa, Chordata, Actinopteri, Centrarchiformes, Centrarchidae.
GGGAGGGAGGCAGAGAGGGACACACGGGCUGCAUCAUGUGACGACUUCUUUCAUCACAGCAACGAGCAGCUCCUCAGUGUUCGUGCAGAGACCGGAAGCAGAAGCUUUCUGAGCUCAGGAUCACGGUGGGUCGCACACGUUGGGUUUGGAAAAUGGAGUCUCGCUCGGAGGACGUGGAUUUCUCUGUGAUGAUAGUGCUUCGGGAUUCGGACCCUGUCAUCCUCACAUCAAAUCGGUGCUCAUGUGUAGCUGGCACUGCAAUGUGUAACCACACCGUUGCUUUGCUGUGUGAAUGUGCAGGUUGUGCCACCUGUCCACACCUGCACUGAGACAGAGCAGCAAUGGCACAAGCCCAGAACCGCGGGAGUGAAACCUGGGCCAAUAAACAGAACGGUCAUCAGCAAACCAAGACUGAACCGACUCACGGAAGGAGGAGUCAGGAGUACACUCUACAAGGGCUUGGUUGGGGACCCACUAGACCUCUCUUUGCUACUGAUGGAAGACACGUUCAAAGACUUUAGCAUUAUUGAAAAACCUCUAGCAGCAACUAUGGGAAUCAGUGACGAGAAGACCCUCGUUGAGACAGCUUUUGGCUUAGCACAAAGGGGGAGUGUGCUCUCAUACCAGCAGCCUGUAUUGCCCACAAAGUCAGUCAAGAUGCACCAGGAUCCUCCACCUUACCCACCGCUGCCUAUUGGGGAGUACGGGCUUGCCCCAAACAGACUGUGUGCAUGUGUGCACUGAAGAGGAGCACUUUCACUUUAAAAGCUUGAAUGUUACACUGGACAAGGCCUAUAAGAUUGAGGCAGCGACAAGAGAGCAGGCAGCAGACCAGGAGUGGCAUCAGCUCCUCACGUUUUAGAGAGGUGUGUUAGAGUCUGCAGAGUCUCUUGCAGAAAGAAUCCUCAAAGGAACAAGGCAGACUGCUGAGAUGAGAAGAGGAGCAGACAUGGAGUUUGAGGUGGCAAGGGAGUACUGCCAGAUGAAAAAUGUCAACCACACACCCUGCGGCCUCGUCAUCCACCCAGAUGCCCCUUGGCUUGGUGCCUCGCCAGAUGGCUUGAUUUUUGAUCCAUUGGCACAGCCACCAUUUGAACUGGUUGAGAUAAAGUGCCCUAAUGUGAAGAACUAUGUGGACUGUAAAUACCUUAAAAUGCAGGAUGGCUCUUCGUAAAAGCCAGUCUUACUUCUGGCAGGUGCAGGGUCAACUGUUGAUCACUGGCCUGCAAUGGUGUGACACUGUGAUUUGUGCUCAGGAAGACAUGCUGGUGCAGCGUAUCCAGGUUGACCCAGAGGUAAAAGCAGUCAUCAGAGAGAGGGUGGACCAGUUUUACUUUAAAGUGUACAUGCAGAAGUACUUGUCUGUCUCCAAAAGAUCUUACUGAUCGAUGCAGGAUAAUUCAGGUGGGGGCCUUUGUAUGAAGCAGGAGUACAGUUCUUUUUUUCACAGUUCACGUUUGUCAUUUACAUCUAGAAAUGAAACCAUAACUAUUUUUGAGGGGCUCUUACAGGCAAUUUCAAUGUUUCAUGCAUCACUGUUGGAUGUUCUUUAGGUCAGCCAAACUCUUUAUCGCCAAAGAAGCAAUAUUUGCAUCAAAAAGUUACACCAUAAUUGUUAUAUAAAUACAGCGUAUUUAGCAAUAAACACAAAGGAGAGAAAAAAGGGUUUUUUAAUUUUUUUUUAUUUGUAACAAAAAUAAUUAAAUCAUUCCAUAUACAGUGGUGACUAUAACAGAUGUUUUCAGAUUUCAUAUACAAUAUUUUACUGUAUGCAUGGUUUGAUUUCAUACAUUUUACUACAAGAGACAGAGAGGAGGACAAUUAAUGAACAGUUGGCACUUUGACAAAUUAAAUCACUCAGUCAAACAUAAAAUAACCUGUAUUGCUACAUAAACAUGUAAAACAUAUGUCAAAUCUA